This 264-nucleotide ribosomal RNA is filed under the name uncultured bacterium. Its description in RNAcentral is "partial 16S ribosomal RNA". It matches the Rfam family "Bacterial small subunit ribosomal RNA", at positions 534 to 793 of the family's 1533-position model. The record is from RNAcentral.
GCGAGCGUUAAUCGGAAUUACUGGGCGUAAAGCGCAUGCAGGUGGUUUGUUAAGUCAGAUGUGAAAGACCCGGGGCGUCAACCUCGGAAUAGCAUUUGAAACUGGCAGACUAGAGUACUGUAGAGGGGGGUAGGAAUUUCAGGUGUAGCGGUGAAAUGCGUAGAGAUCUGAAGGAAUACCGGUGGCGAAGGCGGCCCCCUCGGACAGAUACUGACACUCAGAUGCGAAAGCGUGGGGAGCAAACAGGAUUAGAUACCCUGGUAG